Molecule: ribosomal RNA, 253 nt
Filed under: uncultured bacterium
Lineage: Bacteria
Description: partial 16S ribosomal RNA
Rfam family: Bacterial small subunit ribosomal RNA
Source: RNAcentral
UACGUAGGUGUCGAGCGUUGUCCGGAUUUAUUGGGCGUAAAGAGCCCGCAGGCGGCUUGGCAAGUUUGAGGUGAAAUCUCCCGGCUUAACUGGGAGGGGGCCUCGAAAACUGCCAGGCUUGAGGCAUGGAGAGGGAUGCGGAAUUCCCGGUGUAGCGGUGAAAUGCGUAGAUAUCUGGAGGAACACCGGUGGCGAAGGCGGCAUCCUGGACCAACACUGACACUGAAAAGCGAAAGCCAGGGGAGCAAACGGG